UAACUACUCCCUCCGUCACGAAAUGCUUGUCAUGAAAAUGGAUAAAAGGAGAUAUAUCUAGACGUAUUUUAGUUUUAGAUACAUCCUUUUUAUCCAUUUUAAUGACAAGUAUUUUUGAACGGAGGGAGUAUUUU
Molecule: non-coding RNA, 134 nt
Organism: Triticum aestivum (bread wheat)
Lineage: Eukaryota; Viridiplantae; Streptophyta; Magnoliopsida; Poales; Poaceae
Source: Rfam